This 304-nucleotide long non-coding RNA is filed under the name Homo sapiens (human). Its description in RNAcentral is "non-protein coding lnc-ANKRD36B-6:1". Lineage: Eukaryota; Metazoa; Chordata; Mammalia; Primates; Hominidae. The record is from RNAcentral.
GACAUUCUGUUGACCCAGACUCCACUCUCCCUGUCCAUCACCCCCGGAGAGCCGGCCUCCAUCUCCUGCAGGUCUAGUCGCAGCCUCCUGCAUAGUAAUGGAAACACCUAUUUACAUUGGUAGCUGCAGAAGCCAGGCCAGCCUCCACAGUGUCUAAUCUGCAAGGUUUCUAACCGGUUUUCUGGGGUCCCAGACAGGUUCAGUGGCAGUGGGUCGGGCAUUGAUUUCACACUGAAAAUCAGCCCGGUGGAGGCUGCGGAUGUUGGGGUUUAUAUUACUGCAUGCAAGCUACACACUGGUCCCC